UACCAGCUACUCAGUCAUAAUGCCACACAAAUUCCACUUGUAUGUUUUUUUCCGUCCUUUUAAUGAAUAUUCUGCCAGAUUCUGUCAAUCGGUAACACAAUAGCACCCAUUUACAGUAGUUAAUUAAUCUGCCAAUUUGACCAGUUUCUGUUUUCCUGCCACGUGGUUAGCCACUCCGCAUUGUCACCCAUUUGCCACCUUGUCACCGCCUCCCUCAGCCCAAGUCACCUUGAACCAUCACGAGGCAAAUUUUUAUUUAGAUUGAAGUUAUCAGUAAACUUGGAAAAGUUGCACGUGCUGGAGCAAAGGGGUAACACGUUUUCCUGCAGACUCAUAGCUCGGAGACCUUGGUUUGUCCUAAACUUAGAGUGUGGCUACGAGACCAGAGGUUUUUACCUAUUACCAAGUGAUUUUUCCACAUGUUUCAAUUUCCUGAUGUUGGUAAUUGUUGAUAACAAUUUGACCCUUCACUUACUGGAUGACAGCAAAACUGGAGCCUGUUAGCUGAGUUUAGAUCCCACAAUGCCAUGACUUGAACUCAGGACUCUGGAUGAUUGGCCUGCUAAGAAACACAUGCAAUGUCAACAUUACUUCUGGAGGAAGCACGACUUGUAAAACGGGAUGGAUGCACUUGGACCCGAGGAGGGAACAACACUUUCGCCAUCAGUGUUAACAGGUGGAAGAAUAUGAUCCUCCACGGCCAACAACCCUACGAUCAGACCAGACUCGAUGUCCUCAAGGAAGCGUCGAACGCUUGGGAUUAAAGUUGGAGACCUCUUCACAGAAACAGGAUGGUUCCCAAUGGCAAUACAGGACCAGGUGCUUAACACAAAGGUAUCAAAAAUACGUAAUAAAUGACGGGCAAAUUCAAGAUGAAAAAUGUAGAGAAUACCAAGAGAAAUCUGAAAAAAUCCAACACAUUACAUGAUUCUGCAGCAGUCGAACUUAACCGAUUGUUUACACAGGCAUA
Molecule: long non-coding RNA, 970 nt
Organism: Mobula hypostoma (lesser devil ray)
Lineage: Eukaryota; Metazoa; Chordata; Chondrichthyes; Myliobatiformes; Myliobatidae
Exons: 3
Source: RefSeq, a predicted model, not a curated record